This 268-nucleotide unclassified non-coding RNA is filed under the name fungal sp. Its description in RNAcentral is "partial internal transcribed spacer region". The stretch from base 1 to 46 matches the Rfam family "Eukaryotic small subunit ribosomal RNA", at positions 1786 to 1831 of the family's 1831-position model. Lineage: Eukaryota; Fungi. The record is from RNAcentral.
AAGUCGUAACAAGGUUUCCGUAGGUGAACCUGCGGAAGGAUCAUUAAAUUCAGUAGCUUGCUACUGUUAGGGGGGGUCUAUUAGUCUGUAUAGUAUCACUACUGAUGAGCAGCACGACCCUCUGUCUAUACCCUUGUCUUUUGCGCACUCAUGUUUCCUCGGCGGCUUGAUACCCGCCGGCUGGAUCAAUCUAUAACCUUUUUAAUUUUCAAUCAGCGUCUGAAAAACCUAAUAAUUACAACUUUCAACAACAGAUCUCUUAGUUCUG